AAAAGCAUCAAUCUUUUCCACUGUCUGAAUGAACUGAAUGAUCGUUCUCUAGUGGAGGAGAUCCAACAGUCCCUGAGAUCAGGAAGUCUCUCCACAGAUAAACUGUCUCCUGCUCAGUGGUCAGCUCUGGUCUUCAUCUUACUGUCAUCAGAAAAAGAUCUGGAUGUGUUUGACCUGCAGAAAUACUCUGCUUCAGAGGAGGCUCUUCUGAGGCUGCUGCCAGUGGUCAAAGCCUCCAACAAAGCUCUACUGAGUGGCUGUAACCUCUCAGAGAGAAGCUGUGAUGCUCUGUCCUCAGUUCUCAAGUCCCAGUCCUCUAGUCUGAAAGAGCUGGACCUGAGUAACAAUGACCUGCAGGAUUCAGGAGUGAAACUUCUGUCUGCUGCACUGCAGAGUCCACAUUGUACACUGGAAACUCUCAGAUUGGACCGCUGUGGUUUGUCAGAGAUCAGCUGUGAUUAUCUGGCAGCAGCACUGAAGUCCAACCCCUCGUAUCCCAGAGUGCUGGACCUGAGUGGAAACUACAACAACCUGCAGGAUUCAGGAGUGAAGCAGCUGUGUGUUCUUCUGGAGAAUCCACGAUGUCGAUUUGAAAC
Pelmatolapia mariae (spotted tilapia) is the source of this 596-nucleotide long non-coding RNA. RefSeq lists it as uncharacterized. NCBI's taxonomy places the organism in Eukaryota, Metazoa, Chordata, Actinopteri, Cichliformes, Cichlidae. The record is from RefSeq and is a predicted model, not a curated record. The transcript has 3 exons.